GUGGGGAAUAUUGGACAAUGGGGGGAACCCUGAUCCAGCCAUGCCGCGUGUGUGAAGAAGGCCUUUUGGUUGUAAAGCACUUUAAGCGAGGAGGAGGCCACCGAGAUUAAUACUCUUGGAUAGUGGACGUUACUCGCAGAAUAAGCACCGGCUAACUCUGUGCCAGCAGCCGCGGUAAUACAGAGGGUGCAAGCGUUAAUCGGAUUUACUGGGCGUAAAGCGCGCGUAGGUGGCCAAUUAAGUCAAAUGUGAAAUCCCCGAGCUUAACUUGGGAAUUGCAUUCGAUACUGGUUGGCUAGAGUAUGGGAGAGGAUGGUAGAAUUCCAGGUGUAGCGGUGAAAUGCGUAGAGAUCUGGAGGAAUACCGAUGGCGAAGGCAGCCAUCUGGCCUAAUACUGACACUGAGGUGCGAAAGCAUGGGGAGCAAACAGGAUUAGAUACCCUGGUAGUCC
RNAcentral lists this ribosomal RNA (451 nucleotides) under uncultured bacterium. Its description in RNAcentral is "partial 16S ribosomal RNA". It matches the Rfam family "Bacterial small subunit ribosomal RNA", at positions 354 to 796 of the family's 1533-position model. The record is from RNAcentral.